AUCAAAUUCGUCUCUCUCUCUCUCUCACCAUCUUCUAUCCUUAAUUCUACUCUCUCUCUCAAGCUCCAUCUCCUCGCCACCACCACCUUCUCCAAUAUCACCACCAUCUCCCGCCACCACCACAAUCGCUGCCCCUACCAGCACUAGGAUCUUGGUGGAGCUCUGUAGUUGUCGUACGCAGUUCGAGCCGAAUCGCAUUUCUGCUUAAUGUCUUCGCACAUUUUCACUGAAGAUUCGGAGAAUUUAGUCAGCCUGUCAAGAACCCUCGUCAGGCUCGCUUGUAUGCAGCUUAUGUUUGAAGGUCGGACAGAAAAGCUUUGAUAGCGUCGCUGACUUCUUGAGACGGCAGUGACUUGAUCCCGGCUGACCAGUCCCGACAGAGGACAAAUAUGGGCGGGGCCAGAUAUCGGCGUGGGGAGAAUGCCCGUCUGCCUUUGUACCGC
Sesamum indicum (sesame) is the source of this 443-nucleotide long non-coding RNA. RefSeq lists it as uncharacterized. Lineage: Eukaryota; Viridiplantae; Streptophyta; Magnoliopsida; Lamiales; Pedaliaceae. The record is from RefSeq and is a predicted model, not a curated record.